GUUAGUUUUACCCUACUGGUAGGGAACUCUUUACGAACUGGGGUUGGAUUAUUCACCCACCAACAAGGAACGUGAGCUGGGUUUAGACCGUCGUGAGACAGGUU
RNAcentral lists this ribosomal RNA (104 nucleotides) under Lottia gigantea (owl limpet). RNAcentral describes it as "eukaryotic large subunit ribosomal RNA". It matches the Rfam family "Eukaryotic large subunit ribosomal RNA", at positions 2887 to 2984 of the family's 3401-position model. The record is from RNAcentral. Lineage: Eukaryota; Metazoa; Mollusca; Gastropoda; Lottiidae.